Molecule: ribosomal RNA, 492 nt
Filed under: uncultured bacterium
Lineage: Bacteria
Description: partial 16S ribosomal RNA
Rfam family: Bacterial small subunit ribosomal RNA
Source: RNAcentral
AGUGAACGCUGGCGGUAGGCCUAACACAUGCAAGUCGAACGGCAGCACAGUAAGAGCUUGCUCUUACGGGUGGCGAGUGGCGGACGGGUGAGGAAUACAUCGGAAUCUACUUUUUCGUGGGGGAUAACGUAGGGAAACUUACGCUAAUACCGCAUACGACCUACGGGUGAAAGCAGGGGAUCUUCGGACCUUGCGCGAUUGAAUGAGCCGAUGUCGGAUUAGCUAGUUGGCGGGGUAAAGGCCCACCAAGGCGACGAUCCGUAGCUGGUCUGAGAGGAUGAUCAGCCACACUGGAACUGAGACACGGUCCAGACUCCUACGGGAGGCAGCAGUGGGGAAUAUUGGACAAUGGGCGCAAGCCUGAUCCAGCCAUACCGCGUGGGUGAAGAAGGCCUUCGGGUUGUAAAGCCCUUUUGUUGGGAAAGAAAAGCAGCAGGUUAAUACCCCGCUGUUCUGACGGUACCCAAAGAAUAAGUACCGGCUGACUUCGUG